Ctenopharyngodon idella (grass carp) is the source of this 716-nucleotide long non-coding RNA. RefSeq lists it as uncharacterized. The record is from RefSeq and is a predicted model, not a curated record. The transcript is spliced from 2 exons. Lineage: Eukaryota; Metazoa; Chordata; Actinopteri; Cypriniformes; Xenocyprididae.
AAAUGAGCGUUAUAACAGCCGACAUGUCCUGUUGGAAGGAGUUUUGAUCGGGAACGCACAAGCGCGCGCUGAAGUUGCAACAAUAUGAACAAACAACCCAAUGUGACGCAACAAUCACAAAUCUAUAAACAAACACCUUAAUCGGACUGUUCGGGAAUAGCUACCGACGACAUAUCUAUUCCCCUUUCUUUCUUUCCUUCUUUCUUUCUCCAGAAAAAGCGCCAUGUUGAGAGCAGCAGUGGAGUUGACCAGGGAACGACCACCCGGGUCCUUCCAAAACAUACUGUCACUUUCAUAUUCGCCCGAUAUUCCCAGAGACUCCACAGGGAAGCGCGUGAAGUGUUGAACUCUUCAGGAAAAAUCAGUAAGCGACGGCAACAUUGUAUCCAUACAGGCAAAAAGCAGGAUAAAUCCUCAUGUUGUGCUCCUCAGGUGGGAUUGGACCACCUGUUCGGCGUCUGUGCUCGUCUCGGCGUGUGUCAAUCGCGGGCGAAGUGUCCGUGGGUUGGGCUUCACACACACACACACGCUCUUCUUCAGCUCUCUGAGACUCACACUGACUCACAGCCCUUUCAAUGUGUAUCUACACGAGUAUCUGUUUCAGGUUAAUGAUAACUAGUCGGCUGUUUCAGUAGUUACUAGCAUUAGAUACUAAUGCUUACCAGUUUGGGCUGAAUUCAAUCAUUCAAGAGAUUGGCUACACUCUUAAAAAGAAA